This 75-nucleotide transfer RNA is filed under the name Staphylococcus aureus. RNAcentral's name for it is "tRNA-Asn". It matches the Rfam family "tRNA". Rfam says of the family: Transfer RNA (tRNA) molecules are approximately 80 nucleotides in length. Their secondary structure includes four short double-helical elements and three loops (D, anti-codon, and T loops). Further hydrogen bonds mediate the characteristic L-shaped molecular structure. tRNAs have two regions of fundamental functional importance: the anti-codon, which is responsible for specific mRNA codon recognition, and the 3' end, to which the tRNAs corresponding amino acid is attached (by aminoacyl-tRNA synthetases). tRNAs cope with the degeneracy of the genetic code in two manners: having more than one tRNA (with a specific anti-codon) for a particular amino acid; and 'wobble' base-pairing, i.e. permitting non-standard base-pairing at the 3rd anti-codon position. The record is from RNAcentral. Lineage: Bacteria; Bacillati; Bacillota; Bacilli; Caryophanales; Staphylococcaceae.
UCCUCAGUAGCUCAGUGGUAGAGCUAUCGGCUGUUAACCGAUCGGUCGUAGGUUCGAGUCCUACCUGUGGAGCCA